This 373-nucleotide ribosomal RNA is filed under the name uncultured Bacteroidota bacterium. RNAcentral describes it as "bacterial SSU rRNA". It matches the Rfam family "Bacterial small subunit ribosomal RNA", at positions 521 to 896 of the family's 1533-position model. Lineage: Bacteria; Pseudomonadati; Bacteroidota. The record is from RNAcentral.
UAAUACGGAGGAUCCAAGCGUUAUCCGGAAUCAUUGGGUUUAAAGGGUCCGUAGGUGGACAAAUAAGUCAGAGGUGAAAUCCUGCAGCUCAACUGUAGAACUGCCUUUGAUACUGUUUGUCUUGAGUUAUUAUGAAGUGGUUAGAAUGUGUAGUGUAGCGGUGAAAUGCAUAGAUAUUACACAGAAUACCGAUUGCGAAGGCAGAUCACUAAUAAUUAACUGACACUGAGGGACGAAAGCGUGGGUAGCGAACAGGAUUAGAUACCCUGGUAGUCCGCGCCGUAAACGAAGGUCACUAGCUGUUUGGACUUCGGUCUGAGUGGCUAAGCGAAAGUGAUAAGUGACCCACCUGGGGAGUACGUUCGCAAGAAUG